AACUGCACAGGAAGAACGUGUCUGCUACCUAGAUUCUUAUAUUUAUUUAAAAUUAUUGAGCAUAAUGGUCUUAGUAAGCCUGGCCAUCAUCUGAGUUAAACAGCCUAGCAUAUUAGGAAGAAGCUGGACUAGAAUUUGGAACAACCCUGGUGCAAAUCCCAGCUCUGCUACUAACAAGUGAUGUGCUGUUAAGCAAGUGCCCUAACCCUUCUGGAUCUCAGUUUCUUAUCGCAAAAUGGAUUUAAAGUCUCAGCCAUAUAUCACAAAAUUUUUGUGAGGAUUCAAUGAAAUACAAUAUUGUAGAUGGUGGCUUUUAAAAAAAAAUUACUCAUUUGGAGGGUCAGACCUAGAGGUGGUAGAGUGAACGCCGCGCCAGGCAAUGGAAGAAGCACUGGCCUAGACCAAGCUUGAGCGUGCACCACCGUCACCUGGAGGGCUUGCUCCAACACGGAUGGCUGGACCCACCCCCAGAAUUUCAGAUUUAUUAGUUUGUCUCUUCCAGAAUCAAAGCUGUAAAACUACAAAUCAUUCUUCAAAUGGAGCCCCAGAUGCAGUCUGUGACUAAGAUCUACCACGGACCCCUGGACCGGCCUGCUAGCCCAUGCUCCGAAGUUGAUGACAUCGAAGGCACCCCUCCCAAGGAAAUUUCAACUGCAUGACCCUUACUAUGCCCCAAUUCAGCAGGAAGCAGUUAGAGCUGUCGUCAGCCAACAUCCCCAACAGCACUUGGGUUUUCCUAUUGAGAGGGGGUACUGAGAGACAGGACUAGCUGGAUUUCCUAGGCCAACUAAGAAUCCCUAAGCCUAGCUGGGAAGUUGACCACAUCCACCUUUAAACACGGGGUUUGCAACUUAGCUUACACCCAACCAAUCAGGUAGUAAAGAGAGCUCACUAAAAUGCUAACUAGACAAAAACAGGAAGUAAAGAAAUAGCCAAUCAUCUAUCACCUGAGACCAAAGGGGUAGGGACAAUGAUUGGGAUAUAAACCCAGGCAUUCGAGCCGGCAAUGGCUGUCCCCUUUGGGUCCCCUCCCUUUGUAUGGGAGCUCUGUUUUCACUCUAUUAAAUCUUGCAAUUGCAAAAAAAAAAACAAAAAUUCCCUAGUGCCCAGAACUGUAUAUUUAAUAUAUAUUUAUUGCUUGAAUGCAUGAGUGAGUGAAUCUCCACUAACUAUUUCUUUAGAGUAUCCUAUGUGUAACAUGUCAUGGUGAUAAAUUCAUCCCCACUCAUCAGAAUAAGAGAAGUUGGCUAAAAUCCUAGUAUGUGGGAAUGGGGAUAGAUAAUGAAGAACCUGACAUUCAUUCUUACAACAUAAUUACAUGGGUCUCAAGGGAAGGGUGCAAUGACUUUUGAAAAAAAUUCAAUAUUCACAACUUCUUGAUAAAAGGUGUGUUAGGUAGCAUUUGCUUCAGGGAAGAAGAAUUUAUAGUCCUCCAAAUACACCUGGAUAACCUCACCUCAGACUAAAUAGAUCCCAAACCACUACAUUUGCCCAAAGACUUUCUUGUUUCCCACAUCUUCAUUUUUCUGUUAAUUGUGACUCCAUUCCCUACUCACUAGGCUUUAAACGCAGCUGUCAGACACAAUCACUCUUUGCUUGAAUUCAUUUAGUUACCAAGACCUAAACUGAUUUUUUUUUUUAGCAGUCUCUGUCUUGUCACCCAUUCCUUCCUUUCCAUUCUUAGAGCCCAAUUUUCUAGAUCAGGUCUUGUAUUCUCAGUCUCUAAUAUUUCAUGGGUAGGUCCAGCUUGUCUCCUUGCAUACAUUUCUCCCUCCAGCAGCUGUUAUGAACUGAAUUAUGUCCCCACCCACCCCCAGAUUCAUAUGUUUAAGCCCUAACCCCAUGUGACUGUGUUAGUAGACCGAGCAUUUUUGGAGGUAAUUUUGGUUCCAUGAGAUUAUAAGGAUGGGGCCCUAAUUUGAUAGGACUGGUGUCCUUAUAGGAAGAGGAUGAGACACUACUCUUUCUCUCUGCUCAUACGCAGAGAAAAGGCGGCCAUCUACAAGCCAGCAAGAGGGCCUCACUAGGAUGAAUUUUCCAGCAUCUUGAUCUGAACUUCUAGCCUCCAGAACUGUGAUAAAUUAAAUUUCUGUGGUUGUAGCCACCUGGUCUGUGGUAUUUCAUGUCAGUCAUAACAGACUAAUAAAUAGGCUAUCUGCCCAGUAUUCUCAGAGUUACAUGCAUAAAACACUAAACUGACCCCAUGCUUUAUAAAUCCCCAAGGCUGCCACUGCCCACCCCCAUGACUUGUAAGUCCAAAUGCUUUAGCUUGGAACCUGAGGCCACCCUCCGUGUCGUCCCCAUAGUUACCUGCUCAGCCUCUCAGCCUUUAUAUUGUUUAAGGCAAACAUUCUGAUCUCAUUGUCCUCAAAACCCACAUGGCAUUUUCUGAAGCCACAGUGAAGCAUGAUGCCUUUGGGGAACUGCCCGUGGUUGCCAUGGCUGCAAGGUGAGUCUACAUCAGAGGAUGGCAGGAUGUGAGUGAGAGGAGUCACGUUGCAGACAUGGCUCCCUCCUCCCUCUCUUCCUUGUUAACAGAGUCCUCACUGAGUUUAGAGACGAGAGGUGCCCAGAUCAGAGGCAAAUAAUGAUGUCUAAGCUGGGGGUCAGCAAACUAUUUUCAUAAAGGGCCAGGUGAAGGUAAACAUUUUGGGCUUUGUGGGUGAUAUGGUCUCUGUCACAGCUCCAGCAUUUUAGUGUGAACGUAGCCAUAGGCAAUACAUAAACAAGGGAGCACAGCUGUGUUCCAAUAAAACUUUAUUUACAAAAGCAAUUGUUGGACUAGAUUUGGCCUGUGGGGCAUAGUUUGCCACUCCCUGAUCUGCCAAUCCCAGAGCAAUGACAUUAUUGAUCUUCUGAAUCAAGUGUAGAACAACUUUCGGAUUUCUUGUUAUGUGAGAGGCAGAAAACUCAAUCUUUUAAAGGUCUUUUUAAGCUCUUGCUAUUCACAAGGUUUGCCUUAGACCAGCAGAAUCAGCAUCACCUGGGAGCUUGUUAGAAAUGCAGAAUCUCAGGCCCCCACUCCAACCUCCUAAAUCAGAAUGUGCAUUUUAAUAAGAAGCCCUGGUGACUGGAAGGUUUACUAGAGCUUAAGAAGCACUGGUUGGAGCCGCUGUUGAUUGAAUGUCUUAUUACUUGCAGAUGAAAGCACCCUUAACCAUUGCUGACAGGAACAAGUCUUCAAGAUCUUAUACGCUUUGCUAAGGACCGUGGUUUUGUCCUGAAAGACAUUAAAGGGCUUUAUGUGGGGAAUGAAAUGAUCAGUUUUGGGAGGCAUACAACUCAUCUCUUUGAUGAAAUAAUAAGCUUCUAAAAAUCAGAGUGUACUAAAGAAAUAUCCUUGAUAUUUAUCCUACUUUCCAAGGCCAGCCAAGUAGGUAGACUCCACCACUGCCACACCAUUGGAUGGAAUUCAAAAGCAGCCUCGCCUCUUCUAUAAGACCUGCUCUCCUGCCCAUACCUACUGCCUCAGGCCCCAGGAGGAGUCUCUGUUUCUGGCAUAUCCAUGGGGCUUAAAAGUAAUUGGAAGCUCCAGCAUUAUAAUUUGGCAUCUGAGACUGGAGAACUUUAAUUUUAGUUACACCUAACACUGCCACCACCCAGCUUGGUUCAAUUUAUUUUCUGAAUAUAUAUUCACCUCUCCGAUAAGACUAUGAGCUACUUUGGCCUAAGCAAUCAUAUUUUAAGAUUUUUGCAUCUCUUCCAUAAGGCUUGCCAAGUGCUCUGAUUAUGACAGUCAUGAUAAAUACAAAAUUAAUUCUUAAAAUAUAAGCCAUCAUUUAUUGCUUUUCCAAGCUCUUCGAAUAAUACCUAAAUGGGAUAAGCAUCUCCAAUGUGAAUAUCAUUCAUCAGCUAAGUUAAAAAUAGUAGAGUCAAAAGGAUCCAAAUAACAUCAAAUUUUUUGAAAGGCAGGUCUUUUCAUAUUGUUUAUGGUUAGGUUCUAAUACACCCCAGGAGUGGUUUGAAAGAGUAUUCCACACAAACAUUUGCUCGUAUCAAGUCACUACAUCUUCCUGUGGUUGGUUUAUGUAGAGCUAAAACCCAAACAAACACCACCUCUUACACAUUCACCCAGAGUGUUAGUACUUACAUGGAGAGAGCACGUCAUAAACCCUCUAGACACAUUAUCUUACUUAAACCAUACAAAACCCUAGGGUUGGGUAGAUUAUUAUCUUCACUGAUGAAGAAACCAAAGUGCAGACUGUUGAUGUCAAUUUAGUGAAGAUCACACUGGUAGAAAUUUGGUGGUGGUUAAGAGAGGACAGUUGGAAUUCAAACCCAGAUAGUUAAGCCCUGAGUGUGUGCUCUGAACCAUUAAGCAGUGUCUCCAUAAACAGAGCUUUGCUAUGUCAAAGGCCAAACUCUCACCAGCCUAUUUUCCUCUGCAGGCAUCAUCAGCUGGGAUUUUCAUGUGACAAAUAACCUAUGUUAAGCCGAGAUAUGUUAAAAAUAAAAUGUUAGAAAACACUU
This is a long non-coding RNA of Pongo pygmaeus (Bornean orangutan), 4470 nucleotides long. RefSeq lists it as uncharacterized. The record is from RefSeq and is a predicted model, not a curated record. The transcript has 3 exons. NCBI's taxonomy places the organism in Eukaryota, Metazoa, Chordata, Mammalia, Primates, Hominidae.